RNAcentral lists this transfer RNA (63 nucleotides) under Cryptocephalus schaefferi. RNAcentral describes it as "tRNA-Asp". Lineage: Eukaryota; Metazoa; Arthropoda; Insecta; Coleoptera; Chrysomelidae. The record is from RNAcentral.
AAAGUUUUAGUUAAUCAAUAACAUUAAUUUGUCAAAUUAAAAUUGCUCUAUAAGCAAACUUUU